AAAGGUAGAAGACAAAAGAGUGGUGAUUGUGGAAAAAAUGGAUUAAACAUAAAUAUAGGUUUAAGCAAGCAACACGUAAAGAGCCCGGUUAGCUCCGCGGUAAGAUGUCGGACUCGUAACUCGGCUCGAUUCUUCACCCUGGGUUUUCUUCCCCGUGGUGGUGUGUCCAAACCGGCUCGAGGUAGUGAAAGCUACCCGAUUUUGCUGCCGCAAGCAAUUUUUAUCGUUCGUUUGGUAGAUGCGGGAAGGAAGAGAAGAAGAGUACCGUGCCUAGUCCGGGUAGGCAUGGCACGUAGAUGGGUGACUAUAGGUUGACCACUGACCAACUUCACGAUUGGUUGUUAUAGUUAAUCUUUUGCGCGAUUAAUUCACUCUCCAAGGAAUUGUAGGAACUUCCUUAGAAACUGUGCCAAGUUCUUCGUGUACAAAAGACCGUAAAUUAACUACGUGUAGAGAAAAUCAUGCGAAAAUUCGCCUCGGGUGACGAGGUAUCGUCGUGGAUAAUCGUUACUAACCGAAUUAUCGAAAAUUCGAUGAAUUAAAAAAACACGUAU
This 554-nucleotide unclassified non-coding RNA is filed under the name Bombus terrestris (buff-tailed bumblebee). Its description in RNAcentral is "misc RNA ENSBTSG00005025689.1". Lineage: Eukaryota; Metazoa; Arthropoda; Insecta; Hymenoptera; Apidae. The record is from RNAcentral.